RNAcentral lists this ribosomal RNA (485 nucleotides) under uncultured bacterium. RNAcentral describes it as "bacterial SSU rRNA". It matches the Rfam family "Bacterial small subunit ribosomal RNA", at positions 32 to 492 of the family's 1533-position model. The record is from RNAcentral.
AAUCAACGCUGGCGGUGUGCCUCAGACAUGCAAGUCGAACGCGAAAUUUCCCUUCGGGGAGAAAGUAGAGUGGCGCACGGGUGAGUAACACGUAGGUAAUUUGCCUUUGGGUGGGGAAUAACUCAGGGAAACUUGAGCUAAUACCGCAUAAUGCAGCGGCUCGACAUCGAGACAGUUGUUAAAGCGGGGGAUCGCAAGACCUCGCGCCUAAAGAGAAGCCUGCGGCAGAUUAGCUAGUUGGUAGGGUAAUGGCCUACCAAGGCAACGAUCUGUAACCGGCCUGAGAGGGCGGUCGGUCAGACUGACACUGACAUACGGGUCAGACUCCUACGGGAGGCAGCAGUCGGGAAUUUUGGGCAAUGGGCGAAAGCCUGACCCAGCAACGCCGCGUGAAGGAUGAAAUCCCUCGGGAUGUAAACUUCGCAAGAACGGGAAGAAUAAGUAGAAGAUAAUACCUUCUAUGAUGACGGUACCGUUUGUAAGCU